This 103-nucleotide small nuclear RNA is filed under the name Balaenoptera musculus (blue whale). The record is from RNAcentral. Lineage: Eukaryota; Metazoa; Chordata; Mammalia; Artiodactyla; Balaenopteridae.
UGGCUUCCGCAGCACAUAUACUAAAAUUGGAACGACACAGAGAAGAUUAGCAUGACCCCUGCGCAAGAAUGACACACAAAUUUGUGAAGCGUUCUAUAUUUUU